AAACUUACUUGGCGCUGAGUCCAGGGUGAUCAAGAAGGCCCUGGCUCCAGGCGGAGACUCACCAUUGCACUCCGGUGUGUUGAAGCCUGCGACGGACCUUCAUUGGGUUCGCUCGGGUGCAUAGUUUUUGUGAGUGGGGAGGCUCUCGGGCUGUCCCUU
Molecule: non-coding RNA, 159 nt
Organism: Hydatigera taeniaeformis
Lineage: Eukaryota; Metazoa; Platyhelminthes; Cestoda; Cyclophyllidea; Taeniidae
Source: Rfam